RNAcentral lists this ribosomal RNA (510 nucleotides) under Callismilax sp. GJK-2014. RNAcentral describes it as "SSU rRNA". It matches the Rfam family "Eukaryotic small subunit ribosomal RNA", at positions 1196 to 1673 of the family's 1831-position model. The record is from RNAcentral. Lineage: Eukaryota; Metazoa; Arthropoda; Insecta; Coleoptera; Tenebrionidae.
UGACUCAACACGGGAAACCUCACCAGGCCCGGACACCGGAAGGAUUGACAGAUUGAGAGCUCUUUCUUGAUUCGGUGGGUGGUGGUGCAUGGCCGUUCUUAGUUGGUGGAGCGAUUUGUCUGGUUAAUUCCGAUAACGAACGAGACUCUAGCCUGCUAAAUAGGCGUAUUUCGACAUCCCAAAGGCCCGCCGGUCCCGGGUUCGCUCGGUGACCGCGCGCGGUUUUUACUGUCGGCGUACAAACAAUUCUUCUUAGAGGGACAGGCGGCUUCUAGCCGCACGAGAUUGAGCAAUAACAGGUCUGUGAUGCCCUUAGAUAUUCUGGGCCGCACGCGCGCUACACUGAAGGAAUCAGCGUGUCCUCCCUGGCCGAGCGGCCCGGGUAACCCGCUGAACCUCCUUCGUGCUAGGGAUUGGGGCUUACAAUUGUUCCCCAUGAACGAGGAAUUCCCAGUAAGCGCGAGUCAUAAGCUCGCGUUGAUUACGUCCCUGCCCUUUGUACACACCGCC